AUGGAGCCGACCUUGAAAUACCACCCUUUAAUGUUUGAUGUUCUAACGUUGACCCGUAAUCCGGGUUGCGGACAGUGUCUGGUGGGUAGUUUGACUGGGGCGGUCUCCUCCUAAAGAGUAACGGAGGAGCACGAAGGUUGGCUAAUCCUGGUCGGACAUCAGGAGGUUAGUGCAAUGGCAUAAGCCAGCUUGACUGCGAGCGUGACGGCGCGAGCAGGUGCGAAAGCAGGUCAUAGUGAUCCGGUGGUUCUGAAUGGAAGGGCCAUCGCUCAACGGAUAAAAGGUACUCCGGGGAUAACAGGCUGAUACCGCCCAAGAGUUCAUAUCGACGGCGGUGUUUGGCACCUCGAUGUCGGCUCAUCACAUCCUGGGGCUGAAGUAGGUCCCAAGGGUAUGGCUGUUCGCCAUUUAAAGUGGUACGCGAGCUGGGUUUAGAACGUCGUGAGACAGUUCGGUCCCUAUCUGCCGUGGGCGCUGGAGAACUGAGGGGGGCUGCUCCUAGUACGAGAGGACCGGAGUGGACGCAUCACUGGUGUUCGGGUUGUCAUGCCAAUGGCACUGCCCGGUAGCUAAAUGCGGAAGAGAUAAGUGCUGAAAGCAUCUAAGCACGAAACUUGCCCCGAGAUGAGUUCUCCCUGACCCUUUAAGGGUCCUGAAGGAACGUUGA
Molecule: ribosomal RNA, 667 nt
Filed under: Escherichia coli
Lineage: Bacteria; Pseudomonadati; Pseudomonadota; Gammaproteobacteria; Enterobacterales; Enterobacteriaceae
Description: partial 23S ribosomal RNA
Rfam family: Bacterial large subunit ribosomal RNA
Source: RNAcentral